This 577-nucleotide ribosomal RNA is filed under the name uncultured bacterium. RNAcentral describes it as "bacterial SSU rRNA". It matches the Rfam family "Bacterial small subunit ribosomal RNA", at positions 202 to 799 of the family's 1533-position model. The record is from RNAcentral.
AAAAACUCCGGUGGUAUGAGAUGGACCCGCGUCUGAUUAGCUGGUUGGCGGGGUAACGGCCCACCAAGGCGACGAUCAGUAGCCGACCUGAGAGGGUGACCGGCCACAUUGGGACUGAGACACGGCCCAAACUCCUACGGGAGGCAGCAGUGGGGAAUAUUGCACAAUGGGGGAAACCCUGAUGCAGCAACGCCGCGUGAGUGAAGAAGUAUUUCGGUAUGUAAAGCUCUAUCAGCAGGGAAGAAAAUGACGGUACCUGAGUAAGAAGCCCCGGCUAACUACGUGCCAGCAGCCGCGGUAAUACGUAGGGGGCAAGCGUUAUCCGGAUUUACUGGGUGUAAAGGGAGCGUAGACGGCGAUGCAAGUCUGAAGUGAAAGCCCGGGGCUCAACCCCGGGACUGCUUUGGAAACUGUAUGGCUGGAGUGCUGGAGAGGCAAGCGGAAUUCCUAGUGUAGCGGUGAAAUGCGUAGAUAUUAGGAAGAACACCAGUGGCGAAGGCGGCUUGCUGGACAGUAACUGACGUUGAGGCUCGAAAGCGUGGGGAGCAAACAGGAUUAGAUACCCUGGUAGUCCACG